GACGAACGCUGGCGGCGUGCUUAACACAUGCAAGUCGAACGGAAAGGCCCUGCUUUUGUGGGGUGCUCGAGUGGCGAACGGGUGAGUAACACGUGAGUAACCUGCCCUUGACUUUGGGAUAACUUCAGGAAACUGGGGCUAAUACCGGAUAGGAGCUCCUGCUGCAUGGUGGGGGUUGGAAAGUUUCGGCGGUUGGGGAUGGACUCGCGGCUUAUCAGCUUGUUGGUGGGGUAGUGGCUUACCAAGGCUUUGACGGGUAGCCGGCCUGGGAGGGUGACCGGCGACAUUGGGACUGAGAUACGGCCCAGACUCCUACGGGGGGCAGCAGUGGGGAAUAUUGCACAAUGGGCGGAAGCCUGAUGCAGCAACGCCGCGUGCGGGAUGACGGCCUUCGGGUUGUAAACCGCUUUCGCCUGUGACGAAGCGUGAGUGACGGUAAUGGGUAAAGAAGCACCGGCUAACUACGUG
RNAcentral lists this ribosomal RNA (468 nucleotides) under uncultured bacterium. RNAcentral's name for it is "partial 16S ribosomal RNA". It matches the Rfam family "Bacterial small subunit ribosomal RNA", at positions 28 to 507 of the family's 1533-position model. The record is from RNAcentral.